This 1910-nucleotide long non-coding RNA is filed under the name Coturnix japonica (Japanese quail). RNAcentral describes it as "lncRNA (ENSCJPG00005003118.1)". Lineage: Eukaryota; Metazoa; Chordata; Aves; Galliformes; Phasianidae. The record is from RNAcentral.
GGGUGAUCUGCCUCCCUGCAGCCCCAAAGCGAGUGGGAGACCCUCACCAUCCACUGGCCCAGCAGCCGUCCCCCUGUUCAGAGCAGUGGGUGCUCACAUUGCCAAGCAUUUUUUCUCUCCAUUUCCCUACCCCCUGGGGAAAAAAAAGUUGGGAUGAAAGCCUGCGCUCUUUUGAUAACUUCCCUUAACUAUCAGCUAAAUAAUACAUGAACACGGACUCUCCAUGCUGACGGAUGACUCCCUCUGCUGACCCUGUUUUAUUUUUAUUGCUUAGCUCGGGCCAGUUCCUUCAAGUCCUGAAUCAUCAGAACAGAGACCUUGAGAUACACCCCACCGUGUUCUGGGGCCUCACCUCCUGUUUUGGCUCUAGGAAAAAAGAAAGGAACCUCCUGGAUCCCAAGCUGAGCAGCUCCAAUGCCUGCCUUUACAAUAUUGUUACAGUCAGACAUGAAAUCUUAAUGCAGGAUAGUGCCUCAAAUCUUACAUUCUUCUGAAAAAGGUGAGUCCCCAGUAGUAAAUGAAAUAUUAAAUAUUAUUAAAUAUGAAACAGUUAAACCUGGAUUCCAUUAAAAUGAAUCUUUCAUAGUUUUCCUGUUGUUUCCCCCCACCCAUUUUUUUCUCCCUCCAGGGAGUACAGCAACCUCAUGAGCUUUUAUGUGUCCUCCUAAAGACUGAAAAAUCACAGGUAAUUGUAAGUCUGUUCUAUUCAGAUUUAUUUGAGCUGGAAAACAAAUCAAGGCCUCGAAACCCUCUCAUGGUUGCAUCUAUCUCACUGAACUAUUUAACAGGCUGUAUCAAAGGCUCGCCUAAAGACACCAUGUAAUGCCUGUUGACACGUGCCACCUAUCUGAGAACCUUGUAUCCAGUCACACACUUUGCUUUCAUGUAGAUUGACUUUAAUCUUCCACCACAUGAUAAAGAUAAAAAUGUUUUCAUAGUGCAUAGGAUACUUCCAGAGAUGUUUUUUGUUGCUCCUGAAGAUUUUCUGGGAGUUAAACUGCGACUUGAGUGAGUGCUGAUGUGUGAGCUGUCAACUGGGCAGCCCAAAGAACAGCUACAAGAGAGAACAUCUUAUAGAGCUGCCAUGAAUUGGGGAUUGUCUGGCCAUGAGAUCCUGGCUGGGGUUAGAUCUGCACAGAGCACACAGAGCAGUUGAUAGGAUAAGCCCUUACUCAACAUUGCUGCAGUAUUUCGUGGUUAGUGCAUUUGCAACUGAGUGUUUGAAAAGUGGGUAACUGCACAGGUCAGCUGCUGGAAUGGACAGCAAGGUGUAUAAUUCUCAUUAGAAGCCUUUAUGUCCCUGCAUUCAGAACCUAAGCCCUCUCUUCUAUUAGGAGCAGAUGUAUUUGAAGGAGAUAAACAGGAAUUUUUAGAAGAGGAUGGGAGAAAGAGUCCUUAGCUUUGAUAAAAGGGUAGAGGAUCACGGCUCUUGCUUGAGCUUCUCCUCCUGUACUGCAGAUAGCUGGGUCUGAUGUGACCUCCAUUUCCAGCACUGCUUUAAUUCCUGACCCACCAUGUCAUGAGCUCCAAAACACACACAAAUUAGCUUGUCAACCUUGAGAUGCUCGUUUGGGCUGGAAGGCAAUAAGAAAAGCAAGCUAAAAUGGCGAAGAAGGUAAAAAUCCAUUCAUUAUUCAUUGCUACUGCUUCAUGUUGUGCAAAAAGCCUUCCACCUUGCUUUCCACUCUGCUUGUGUUAGGUCACUUCUGAGGCUCAGCGAUGCAAGCACAGCCCCUGCUGCAGGAGCCCUCCAGUGCCUCUGCCCCUCUUCAGGAUCCUAGAAACACAGGGAAGAAAGAGAGAAGCCAGCUCAGCAGACAGAAGGGAGAACCCAUGCUCUUUCCCAUUCCAGAGUUUUUGUAACAUUUCACAGUUUGCUUAAAAAAAAUAAAAUAAAAUAGCAAAUGGCA